UAAAUUCUGUAAGUAUUUAUUUUGAAUCUCUUAGAGAAAUGUAACACAAUGAAUGUCGUCCUUCACACUAUUUUGUUCGAUAUGUUGUUUAAAUAUGCAGUCUAUUUUGUCAGAGCUAUUUGUUCAUAACCAAGAAAUGUGCAAAAUUCUCAAUAUCAAACGAAGUCUGUGUUCCCCAACCAAUGGGUUGGUUGAAAAAAUGAAUGGGACCAUUCAAAGAGCUCUGAGUAAGGUUGAGGAUGGCCAUCCACACACCUGGGAUGAGUAUUUGGAUGCUGUGAUGUUUGGGAUGCGCACCAAAAAACAAAUAACCACACAGUAUUCCCCAUACUUCCUCAUGUUCGGAAGAGAGGCACGCUAUCCCUCGGAAGUCCCUGAACAUUACAUGAUUGACGGUGCUGUGGAGGACAUCGUUGGAGUGGAGGAGUUGGCAGAGGACCUCAAAAUAC
Xiphophorus hellerii (green swordtail) is the source of this 449-nucleotide long non-coding RNA. RefSeq lists it as uncharacterized. The transcript has 3 exons. NCBI's taxonomy places the organism in Eukaryota, Metazoa, Chordata, Actinopteri, Cyprinodontiformes, Poeciliidae. The record is from RefSeq and is a predicted model, not a curated record.